Long non-coding RNA from Bactrocera neohumeralis, 5432 nucleotides. RefSeq lists it as uncharacterized. Lineage: Eukaryota; Metazoa; Arthropoda; Insecta; Diptera; Tephritidae. The record is from RefSeq and is a predicted model, not a curated record. The transcript is spliced from 2 exons.
UUUUUUAAUUUUAAUUUUUUUAAUUUUAAUGUUUUUAAUUUUAAUUUAUUUAAUUUUAAUUUUUUUUAAUUACUCUAAUUUUUUUAAUUAUAAUUUUUUUUUAAUUUUUCUAAUUUUUUUUAAUUUGAAAAAUUUUUUAAUUUUAAUUUUUUUAUUUAAUUUUUCGUUUUAUUAUUAUGUUAUAACUUUAUUUUUUUAACAAUAAAACACAGUCCUGGUGACUGUAAAUCCAAUGCGAAGCAACUGCGUACACCGAUCUGUAUAGGAAUGCAUGCGCCACGCACACAAUAACAACAAAAACAAGUCACAUAAGCAAAAUCGUAAAACAUUGUAGGACAGAGAAGACAAGCACUUAUUGCGAGGACACGUAGUAGAAUAUAAAAAAUAAGCCAUUACACUGAAACAAAAGAAAUACGCCUAGUAAUAGGGUGGCGCAUGCGCAAUUGUAAAAGGGAAUAUUGAAAAAAACAAAAAAAAAAUAUUUAUAAAAUAAAUUAUUGAAUCUAGCAACUUUUAUGCAUAGCUUUAGGUGGUUUAAAGGCAGUCAAAUAAUUAAAUAUAUGUAUGUAUUUAAUAGCUGAGGCGAAUUUAAGAGAGCGAGACGGCAGCAAGUAAACACUUUUACCAAUUAUUACUUAUAUACUAUAUUAUAUGUAUAUGUAUGUAUGUAGUUGUAGUUGAAAAACUAAAAAAAAAACACAUUCAACACAAGACAAGACACUGAACAGCACAAACAGACACACAUACACACACAAAAAAGUGAAACUGCAAAAACAUAAAAAACAGACUAGAAAUAUUAUAGCGUGUCAAUUGUAUGCCAAGCCAAAAGAUAAAACCAAAAAAUUUUAAAUAAAAUGAAACAAAAACACUUAAUAAACUCAAAGUAUGCAGAAAAUACACACAAAAAUACAACAAAUACUACAAAUACAACAACAACACUGAGGAAACAUGCAAAACACAACAAUAAACACUUGGAAAGCGCCUAUACACCGAUACUGCGUGCUACACAACAAAAACACCAUGAUACAACAACAACAAAAACAACGACACAUAAGCACACACCCACACACACACAUGCGCAACUGUUGCUGUUAUAUUCGUAUCGACAAAACUCUUUUACUAUACUUUUACGCAUUACACUUGCACAUGCAGACUAAAUCAAAUCACACACGGGAACAUCACAUGAACAACUACAUAGGAGCAACACGCCGCACAACAACAACAACAAACAUAAAAAAUGUAUUUUAGCAUACAAACACCAUUACACACGUGCUAACAGCAGCAACUACAAAAAAUGCAGGCGCAUGCGAGUGCAAGCAAAAUAUCACAUGAUAAUCAUGUGAUCCAUUAACAGCAAUUUGUACAGCGCCAACGAUUUGUGAACGCUAUCAUGAACAAAACACGUCAACACAGUGAAAAACACAUACUGAGUAACAAAUAUACUUGCUACAUAAACAACAACAACAUACACGAUUAUAUGUAUAUUGAAACAUCACAACAUCACAACAUCACAUCGCACAUGUUUAUAAACACAAUAAUAUCCUACUAUUGCAUAUAUGAACUGCCGAUAGUACGGAGGUUCAAAUGGCAUAAUCGUAACUAACUGGUGAUAAUUGCUUCAAAUGCAUUGAAAGAAUUCAAUUCGUGUUUUAUUGAUAAAUAUACAUAUAUUUAUUAUAUGUAUGUACAAUUAUUUGUGGUGAAUUUGCAACUCUUUGAGAAUUUAAGCUGGUAGUAAAACAAAAAACUAAUUUUUGCAGUUUUGUUGAACUUUUAUUAUAAUUUGGUUAUUAGCAGCUAGCAACAUGUUGCUAAAGCGCUACGAAAAAAUUUUUUAGCAAUAUAUGAAAUAAUAAAUAAUCAGAAAAACAGUUCACUUUAAACUAUUUUCAAUUUUUGGUAACCUGCAACAUGUUGCGGAAAAAAUAUUGCGCAAUAUUUUGCUGCGAAAAUUAAUAUUUAUUGUUCACUCUUUCAAUAAAUGUCAAAAAUUAUAUAAUUCUUAAAGAAAAAUACAUAACAGCAUAUCGUUGAAAUAUAUUGUGCAAUAUUUCAAUGACACAUUUCGGCAUUUUCCUCACUACAGGCUGAAGAUCCAUUCCGAGCAUAUAUUUAAAUAAUUAAUAUGUAUGAACCAAUGAUAGAUAUUUUUAUAUUGAAGUAGUCGCUGACAUAUUGCGCAAUAUUUUAAACUUUCAAUAUUUCACUACUACUCUUGCAUGUUUUUUUGACAAAUAUUGUCAAGUCGCAUUCUUUUUGAAAUUGCAAUAUAUUAAUACUGGCUAUCAACAAUGUUGAUAAACAAAUUCGGCAAAUUUACAAACUUUUUACACUUUCUUUAGUGUGUACAAUCAACAGAGGAAAUAAUAUAGACAUGUUGGCAAUCAAAUUUUCUUCAACAACAUUUGUGUUAUCAUUAAUUUUUCAACUCAAACUGAUGGUCAUUGGUAGUCACAACUAAAUUUUACAUUUUAUCAAAUGUUGAUGACGUGUUGCCAAUGUAUUACAAAUGUUGCUAAACAUCUAUUUAUAGAAAUUUGACUAUAUGUAUCACUUUACUGAGUUCAAACACCAUUAUUCAACUUCUCUGUCAUUCUUCAGCAACAAAAAUGUUGCGAACAUGUUGCUGUGUAUAUAGUUUCUUUAAAACGCUUGGUUUCUUACUGUUUUCACAGUUAGCCAAGUGUUGUAACUUGCGCAAUAUCAUUAUUUGUCAUUCUUCAGCAACAAAAAUGUUGCGAACAUGUUGCUGGAUGCAUAGUUUCUUUAAAACGCUUGGUUUCUUACUGUUUUCACAGUUAGCCAAGUGUUGUAACUUGCGCAAUAUCAUUAUUUGUCAUUCUUCAGCAACAAAAAUGUUGCGGAACAUGUUGCUGGGUGUAUAGUUUCUUCAAAAUGCUUGACUUUUGGUUGUUUUUAAGUAGUAAGCUAUUUUUUGUGUAUAUUUAAAUAUUUUAAAAUUGUACAGAAUUAAUUAAAAAUUCCAAAAUGUUGCGCAACAUGUUGCUGUGUGCAUAGUUUUCUUAAAACGCUUGAUUUCAGGCUGUUUUUGAGCUGUAAAGUAUUUUUUGUGUUUAUUUAAAUAUUUUAAAAUUUUACAUAGUUAAUUAAAAAAUCCAAAAUGUUGCGCAACAUGUUGCUGGGUGCAUAGUUUCCUUAAAACGCCUGAUUUCAGACUGUUUUUGAGCUGUAAAAUAUUUUUUGUGUUUUUUUUUAUAUUGUAAAAUUUCACAUAGUUAAUUAAAAAAUCCAAAAUGUUGCGCAACAUGUUUCUGGGUGCAUAGAUUCUUUAAAAUGCUUGAUUUUUUCUUGUUUUUGUACUGUAGGAUAUUUUUAAUAUUUAUCUAAAUAUUUUAAUUUUUUUCAUGUGAUUUUUGUAAUUUUUCAAGAGUUGCAAGAUUUUUAAUGAUACAAUAUAAUUUUUGUUAACAAAAUAUUUAAAAUUUUAAACAUUAAAGCUAUUAAAUAUACAACAACACAAACACUUUUGUAAAUUGCAUACUGAAAAUAUUUAUUUAAAUACAUACAUACACAAUUGCAUACUUAUGUACUUAUAAAUUUGAAUACAUGCAUACAUACAUACUCAUACACUUAUAUACUUACAUAAUUAUUAUUUUAAACACACACUUACAUAUAAACAUGCUUACAUUACUAACACUAUAACAUAAUUAAACACAUUUAUAUACUUGCAUACUUACAUACAUACUUAUAUACUUACAUAAACACAUUUAUAAACUCACAUACAUACAUAAACACAUAAAUACAUACAUAGUUUAGUGAGUAAGAUCAGCGUAGUGAAAGAAAAAAUUCCCAAAAAAUACAUGGUAUUCGGUACAUACACCAAUACAAUACAUACAUAUGUAGGUAUAUACAAGUAUAACACAUAUUCACAUAACCAUAAUCAUACAAUUAAAAGCAAACAUAUUUAACGAUCUACUAAUACAUAUAUAUAUAUAUAUAUAUACGCAUGCGUAUAUUGUAUACAUACAUAUAUACAUAACAUAAGCUUUCAUAACUGAUUUUCCUAAUUCAAGUAUUCAUAUAUACAUACAUACAAACAUAUAUACAUGUGACUCCUUUUCUCGAGCAAACAUAUACACAGACUGGAGAAAGGUCAAAUUUCAAGGUCAAAGAAGUGAAAAGGUAUUUGAAUGAAUGUUUCAUAAUUCAUAUAUUAUGAUAGCAUAUACAUACAUAAUUAUUAGCAACACAGAGAAAUACACAUAAACAUACAUAGCAUAGCUAAAGAUACAGGCAUAACAGAAAUGCAUACAUACAUACAAACAUUUGUAAAUGCAAUUAAAAAUACAUGUUACACAAGCCAAAUGAAGGCUAGACGUAGCCACUGCAUUGGUAGCGUUGUUGUAAAAGAAAAAAAUUGCAACAACAACAACAGCAAUACAAGUUAAAGCCAGGCUUAGCGGCUAAAUGCAUAAAUGCGUUAUAAAGGAAAAACAACAUAAGCACACAGUUGAAAGAAAAAUUUAAAAACAACAACAAAUACAAGUAUACAGCACUUGACACAAAUAUAGACACACACACACAUACUACACAGUUACACAAAAAAAUAAAUUAAUUAAAAAAAUUAAAUUUGUUAAAAUUAUUAGUGCUAAAUGUUGUAAAGAAUUAGAACACACAAAAGAAUACCGAAAAAAACAACAAAAAAAUUCAUUCAAGCAAAAAGUUAUGCGAAGACCACAUAAAACAGCAACAGAUUGAUAAACCAUAAACGCAAACAAAAACAAAUACAAAUACAAAAAUAAAUAAUAUAUAUAUAUAUAUAUAAAUAAUAUGCAAACAAAAACAACAACAAUAAAAAUAACAAAAUAUACAGCGAAGCUUGCUAAAUGAAACAAACGCCAAGAAAUUGUAGCGCAACAGCAACAAUGCAAACAAAAACAAAACUAAACAAAGAAACCAAAAAAACAACUGCAAAACAAAUACAACAACCAUGCAAGACAUUAACAGCAUAUAUUUGAAAAAAAAAAUUAAUAUUAUUAUUAAAAAAUACUUGAAAAAGUAGUAGCUCACAAUUACAUUUAAGUAAACAAGUAUUGAAAACUUACUUACUGAAAAAAGUAAAAAAAAAAAAACAUGUCAACCGCCAACACACAAUAAUCCCCAAAAACCACAUACCCACUAUACACAUAACCUCAAACGGCAGCAUAACCCCCCAAAACCAGCAAAACACAAAACAGAAAGCGAUUAAACAGCAAAGCCGCAAACAAACAAACACACACACACACAAUACUCGAAUCAUUUAGCAACACUAAACCCAUUCCUAACCCAACCGCCCCCCCUAUUGCGCCUAAAAGUAUGUGUAAUAUGCAUUGAUACAUAAGCAAAGAUAAGCAAAAACUAAACAAAACCAAACAAACAAACAGAAAAUUAUACCCUCAAAGCAUGAGAAUUUGAAAAUCUUGAUCAAUAAA